RNAcentral lists this long non-coding RNA (834 nucleotides) under Camelus dromedarius (Arabian camel). Its description in RNAcentral is "lncRNA (ENSCDRG00005009084.1)". Lineage: Eukaryota; Metazoa; Chordata; Mammalia; Artiodactyla; Camelidae. The record is from RNAcentral.
AUAAGAUACAUCCUGUGUGAAAAUGUGAAGAAGUGUGCCUCUUAGAAUGGAUGCACUAUGGGGUUAGAACAUCAAUGAACGAGAAGUUGUAAUCCAAUACCUUGGACACAGAACAGUCAGAGAGGUCUGGCCUGAAGAGAAGGCAUUGUGCAUACUUAACAUAUGGUGUAUCUCAGUAAAUGUUUGGUGAAUGAAUGGGUGAUGUACUGGGUGGGGAGAUGGGAGUCAUCAGACUAUCCUGGUAGCUGGGCUUAGCACAUGGUUGAAGUCACCCAGAAAGUUUGUAUGAAGUGUGAGGAGAGACGGGAUAAAACCUUUGUGAACACCGGUGUUAUCCUAGUGGUCAUGUAGAAAGGAGCCGAAGAAGGAGCUGGGGAAAGAACUUUCCAAGAGGUGGGGAAGAACCAGAAAGAACUCAGGCGACCAGAGAACAAAGGGUGAGGAGGUGAGAUGUUGCAAGGACUCUGUCAAGAUAAGGCACACAUAUUUUGAGUAAGCCUCAGCCUGCCCUAUGUGAUAGGAGAAGCACUGAAAAUCACAAAGGCGUCAGUGAUCAUUUCUGCCAGGACAUCACAGGAGGCUACCUGAGGAAGGUUGGAGCUGCACUGAGUGAGCUGUUGCCGUCCGGGGCCAAGCAUGCUGUGGUUGGACCUGCCCAGCCGUGGAACAGAAAUGUUUGCUGGAUGGAAAAUCCAUAAAAGAAAGCUCCUGUGAAAGCCUGAGACAGACAGUGACUUAAGCAAAAUCAGGAUUGCUUUGAGGGAGCCUGUUGUUAAAUGGGUCAGCUUCCUGGAGCAAAGAAUGGAGUGGAAAAGUGGAGCGGUGAGUGGAAUC